RNAcentral lists this ribosomal RNA (506 nucleotides) under uncultured bacterium. Its description in RNAcentral is "partial 16S ribosomal RNA". It matches the Rfam family "Bacterial small subunit ribosomal RNA", at positions 29 to 523 of the family's 1533-position model. The record is from RNAcentral.
AGUGAACGCUGGCGGUAGGCCUAACACAUGCAAGUCGAACGGCAGCACAGGAGAGCUUGCUCUCUGGGUGGCGAGUGGCGGACGGGUGAGGAAUACAUCGGAAUCUACUCUGUCGUGGGGGAUAACGUAGGGAAACUUACGCUAAUACCGCAUACGACCUACGGGUGAAAGCAGGGGACCUUCGGGCCUUGCGCGAUUGAAUGAGCCGAUGUCGGAUUAGCUAGUUGGCGGGGUAAAGGCCCACCAAGGCGACGAUCCGUAGCUGGUCUGAGAGGAUGAUCAGCCACACUGGAACUGAGACACGGUCCAGACUCCUACGUGUGGCAGCAGUGGGGAAUAUUGGACAAUGGGCGCAAGCCUGAUCCAGCCAUACCGCGUGGGUGAAGAAGGCCUUCGGGUUGUAAAGCCCUUUUGUUGGGAAAGAAAUCCAGCUGGCUAAUACCCGGUUGGGAUGACGGUACCCAAAGAAUAAGCACCGGCUAACUUCGUGCCAGCCGCCGCGGUAA